Molecule: ribosomal RNA, 61 nt
Filed under: Colletotrichum magnum
Lineage: Eukaryota; Fungi; Ascomycota; Sordariomycetes; Glomerellales; Glomerellaceae
Description: partial 28S ribosomal RNA
Source: RNAcentral
GUUGACCUCGGAUCAGGUAGGAAUACCCGCUGAACUUAAGCAUAUCAAUAAGCGGGAAGAA